GGUCCAUUAGCUCAGUUGGUUAGAGCGCUACCCUGUCACGGUAGAGGUCGACGGUUCAAGUCCGUUAUGGAUCG
This 74-nucleotide transfer RNA is filed under the name bacterium. RNAcentral's name for it is "tRNA-Asp". It matches the Rfam family "tRNA". From Rfam's summary of the family: Transfer RNA (tRNA) molecules are approximately 80 nucleotides in length. Their secondary structure includes four short double-helical elements and three loops (D, anti-codon, and T loops). Further hydrogen bonds mediate the characteristic L-shaped molecular structure. tRNAs have two regions of fundamental functional importance: the anti-codon, which is responsible for specific mRNA codon recognition, and the 3' end, to which the tRNAs corresponding amino acid is attached (by aminoacyl-tRNA synthetases). tRNAs cope with the degeneracy of the genetic code in two manners: having more than one tRNA (with a specific anti-codon) for a particular amino acid; and 'wobble' base-pairing, i.e. permitting non-standard base-pairing at the 3rd anti-codon position. The record is from RNAcentral.